GACGGACCACCCAAACGUUAUUCGGAAUCACUGGGCUUAAAGGGCGCGUAGGCGGCCUUCUAAGUCAGACGUGAAAUCCCCGGGCUCAACCCGGGAACUGCGUCUGAUACUGGAAGGCUUGAAUCCGGGAGAGGGAUGUGGAAUUCCAGGUGUAGCGGUGAAAUGCGUAGAUAUCUGGAGGAACACCGGUGGCGAAGGCGGCAUCCUGGACCGGUAUUGACGCUGAGGCGCGAAAGCCAGGGGAGCAAACGGG
This 253-nucleotide ribosomal RNA is filed under the name uncultured bacterium. RNAcentral describes it as "partial 16S ribosomal RNA". It matches the Rfam family "Bacterial small subunit ribosomal RNA", at positions 524 to 776 of the family's 1533-position model. The record is from RNAcentral.